Anopheles coluzzii is the source of this 1625-nucleotide long non-coding RNA. RefSeq lists it as uncharacterized. NCBI's taxonomy places the organism in Eukaryota, Metazoa, Arthropoda, Insecta, Diptera, Culicidae. The transcript is spliced from 3 exons. The record is from RefSeq and is a predicted model, not a curated record.
GGAAGGAAUUACCACGUGGUGAUGAUGGUGGUCACAAUAGCUGUGACCUCACCUAGCAACAGAGCACAACCCAGCAAAGGCAGCGGCUCCGGGAGCCUGCUUCUUCUUUGGUGGCAGUAACCUUGUGUCACGAAACAGAGCGAGAGAGAGAGAGAGAGAGAGAGAGAGAGAGAGAGAGAGAGAGAGAGAGAGAGAGAGAGAGAGAGAAAGAGAACGAGAGACCUCACGGUUUACGUUCGCCGUGCCGGGAACGGUCUAGAAUCGCGUGCCACCGCGUGGUCUGCAUGCGGUUGCCGUUGACUCAGCGCUGACCUUGAAAACCCCUGAUUUGAAGUACCAUUUGAACAGGAGCCAGCAGGCGAGAGGGGGGUAUACAGGUACCGGCUCCUACAACUAGCUGAUAGUGUAUGAUAUCAUUCGCAUGAAAUUAAAAAGCAAGCACAAGCGUGCGGGCACAGGAACUCAAAUCAGCGUGUAAUCAGUUCGGCAAACGUGCGAAAUAGGCGUCUAUAAAUAGAUUUUAAUGUCAAGCGAGUUUAGGGUUGCGCGUCGAAUGACAACCCGCCGUACACAGGCACGGACGCACGCACACACACACAGGCAUGCCUGCAUUAACCGUCAGACGACCUGGUGCUAAGGUGAUUAGCUGAAGAAGGCAGUAAAAAAACACACACUCGGCAGCUUAGUCACAGUAGGCAAUGAUGCGUGCAAAAGCCGUUCAGCGCGCGUUUAUGUAUUAGUAGGUCGCAGUGUAAUUUUGCACGUACGCCGCCGCGGUGUAAUGUACGCACGCAUACAUCUGCCGGUAAGUGGUAGUGUGUGUGUGUGUUGUUUUUCGAUAGUGUCGUGCCUCCGGCGAUAACGUAAUGAAGAGGGAAGGUUUGAGUCAUUAUCAGCCCGCAAGAAGUAAUCGAGCGUGCGCGCGCGAUUUUACAGCAAAACGGCUGUUGUUUUCUGUGCGGUUUUUACGUCUGUGUGUUUUUUGGUUGUUGUUUCCUUGUUGUUGAUUGUGGUACACCCAUACAGUGGAAGAAAUGGUGGAGUACGUGAGCGAACGCAUCUCCGCCCGUAGUAGCAGCUCUCCCUGACCUUCGCACAGUGCUGACGGAAUGCGAAGUAAGAGUAAGACAAGAUCAAAUUUCCUGCUACAGCCGCUGAAACGGCAAGGAAAUUGGUUCUUCCCAACGGAAGGAUUUCAGCUUCAUUAACACUGUGCGUGCUUGCACUAGCCUUCCCCAACCUACCCUAAAGAGCCAGCCGGUGCACGAAAAUAUGAAGGUCACCUUUCCUUGUCGCAGCAGAGUGAAUGGUUUUUGUUUUGUGGUAAAGGUUUGAAACGUACAGCUUAGUAGAAAUUCCCAAUAUACAGAAUUCUGUUAUUCUUUGAAUCUUAAAAUUUUAGAUUAUAGAUUUAUAGAAAUUGGACGAAUAAAAAACGAUCUAAACUAGAUUUUAGUAAAUGCACCUCGCUGAGCUGUAAUUAACACAUUUACUUAAUAAAAUCACGCUUUAAAGUACGGAGAAGAUGGUAUCAUACAUAUCACAAAAAAUUUAAAAACUACAUAAUGGUGAAUUCCAGAAGAUUAUUAUAUUAUUGUUGUUAUAUUUAAUCCGAAAGUUAUCCA